AGAGUUUGAUCAUGGCUCAGGAUGAACGGCUGGCGGCGUGCCUAAUACAUGCAAGUCGAUCGCACUACUUCGGUAGUGAGAGGCGAACGGGUGAGUAACACGUAGGUAACAUAUCUAUAUGACGAGGAUAACGGUUGGAAACGACUGCUAAGACUGGAUAGGAGUAGAGGAGGCAUCUCUUUUACUUUAAAGGACUUUUUCGGAGUACGCGUAUGGAGUGACCUGCGGCGCAUUAGUUAGUUGGUGGGGUAGUGGCCUACCAAGACGAUGAUGCGUAGCCGGACUGAGAGGUUGAACGGCCACAUUGGGACUGAGACACGGCCCAGACUCCUACGGGAGGCAGCAGUAGGGAAUUUUCGGCAAUGGGGGGAACCCUGACCGAGCAACGCCCGCGUGAAUGACGAAGUACUUCGGUAUGUGAAGUUCUUUUAUUAAGGAAGAAAGUGCAGUGGAAAAACUGUAUAGACGGUACUUAUUGAAUAAGCCCCGGCUAACUAUGUGCCAGCAGCCGC
RNAcentral lists this ribosomal RNA (512 nucleotides) under uncultured bacterium. RNAcentral's name for it is "bacterial SSU rRNA". It matches the Rfam family "Bacterial small subunit ribosomal RNA", at positions 8 to 518 of the family's 1533-position model. The record is from RNAcentral.